CCUACGGGGGGCAGCAGUGGGGGAUAUUGCACAAUGGGGGGAACCCUGAUGCAGCGACGCCGCGUGGGUGAAGAAGCGCCUCGGCGCGUAAAGCCCUGUCAGCAGGGAAGAAAAUGACGGUACCUGAAGAAGAAGCCCCGGCUAACUACGUCCCAGCAGCCGCGGUAAGACGUAGGGGGCAAGCGUUCUCCGGAUUUACUGGGUGUAAAGGGGGCGCAGACGGCGAUGCAAGCCAGGAGGGAAAGCCCGGGGCCCAACCCCGGGACUGCUCUUGGAACUGCGUGGCUGGAGUGCAGGAGGGGCAGGCGGAAUUCCUGGUGUAGCGGUGAAAUGCGGAGAUAUCAGGAGGAACACUGGUGGCGAAGGUGGCCUGCUGGACUGCAACUGACGUUGAGGCCCGAAAGCGUGGGGAGCAAACAGGAUUAGAUACCCCUGUAGUC
RNAcentral lists this ribosomal RNA (440 nucleotides) under uncultured bacterium. RNAcentral describes it as "partial 16S ribosomal RNA". It matches the Rfam family "Bacterial small subunit ribosomal RNA", at positions 338 to 795 of the family's 1533-position model. The record is from RNAcentral.